CAGUAGCCGCGGGAAUACGUAGGUGGCAAGCGUUGUCCGGAAUUAUUGGGCGUAAAGGGCUCGCAGGCGGUUUCUUAGGUCUGAUGUGAAAGCCCCCGGCUCAACCGGGGAGGGUCAUUGGAAACUGGGAAACUUGAGUGCAGAAGAGGAGAGUGGAAUUCCACGUGUAGCGGUGAAAUGCGUAGAGAUGUGGAGGAACACCAGUGGCGAAGGCGACUCUCUGGUCUGUAACUGACGCUGAGGAGCGAAAGCGUGGGGAGCGAACAGGAUUAGAUACCCGUGUAGUCCCUGUCUCUUAUAC
Molecule: ribosomal RNA, 301 nt
Filed under: uncultured bacterium
Lineage: Bacteria
Description: partial 16S ribosomal RNA
Rfam family: Bacterial small subunit ribosomal RNA
Source: RNAcentral